UUGACCUCAAAUCAGGUAGGACUACCCGCUGAACUUAAGCAUAUCAAUAAGCGGAGGAAAAGAAACUAACAAGGAUUCCCCUAGUAACUGCGAGUGAAGCGGGAUGAGCUCAAAUUUUGAAUCUGGCGGUUUUUGGCCGUCCGAGUUGUAAUCUAGAGAAGCGUCUUCCGCGCUGGACCGUGUACAAGUCUCCUGGAAGGGAGCGUCAUAGAGGGUGAGAAUCCCGUCUUUGCCACGGACUACCAGUGCUAUGUGAUGCGCUCUCGACGAGUCGAGUUGUUUGGGAAUGCAGCUCAAAAUGGGUGGUAAACUCCAUCUAAAGCUAAAUACAGGCGAGAGACCGAUAGCGAACAAGURCCGUGAGGGAAAGAUGAAAAGAACUUUGGAAAGAGAGUUAAACAGUACGUGACAUUGCUGAAAGGGAAACGCUUGAUGUCAGUCGCGUCGGCUGGGGAUCAACCUUGCUUUUUCGCUGGGUGCAUUUCCUGGUCGAUGGGUCAGCAUCAGUUUCACUCGCCGUACAAUGGCAAAGGGAACGUGGCACUCCUUCGGAGUGUGUUAUAGCCUUUCGUCAUAUGCGGUGGUCGGGACUGAGGAACUCGGCACGNCUUCG
RNAcentral lists this ribosomal RNA (613 nucleotides) under Aureoboletus mirabilis. RNAcentral describes it as "eukaryotic LSU rRNA". It matches the Rfam family "Eukaryotic large subunit ribosomal RNA", at positions 1 to 610 of the family's 3401-position model. The record is from RNAcentral. Lineage: Eukaryota; Fungi; Basidiomycota; Agaricomycetes; Boletales; Boletaceae.